This 26-nucleotide non-coding RNA is filed under the name Rattus norvegicus (Norway rat). Lineage: Eukaryota; Metazoa; Chordata; Mammalia; Rodentia; Muridae. The record is from RNAcentral.
CAAAUAGGGACAGUCAUGACAGGUGA